CCUACGGGAGACUGCAGUGGGGAAUAUUGCACAAUGGGGGAAACCCUGAUGCAGCAACGCCGCGUGAAGGAAGACGGUUGUCGGAUUGUAAACUUCUGUUCUUAGUGAAGAAUAAUGACGGUAGCUAAGGAGCAAGCCACGGCUAACUACGUGCCAGCAGCCGCGGUAAUACGUAGGUGGCAAGCGUUGUACGGAAUUACUGGGUGUAAAGGGAGAGGAGGCGGGAAAGCAAGUCAGCUGUGAAAACUACGGGCUUAACUUGUGGACUGCAGUUGAAACUGGUUUUCUUGAGUAAAGGAGAGGCAGACGGAAUUCCGAGUGUAGCGGUGAAAUGCGUAGAUAUUAGGAGGAACACCAGUGGCGAAGGCGGUCUGCUGGACAGCAACUGACGCUGAGGCGCGAAAGCGUGGGGAGCAAACAGGAUUAGAUACCCGGGUAGUC
This 441-nucleotide ribosomal RNA is filed under the name uncultured bacterium. RNAcentral describes it as "partial 16S ribosomal RNA". It matches the Rfam family "Bacterial small subunit ribosomal RNA", at positions 338 to 795 of the family's 1533-position model. The record is from RNAcentral.